AUUGAACGCUGGCGGCAUGCUUUACACAUGCAAGUCGAACGGUAACAGGCCUUCGGGUGCUGACGAGUGGCGAACGGGUGAGUAAUGCAUCGGAACGUGCCCAAUCGUGGGGGAUAACGUAGCGAAAGUUACGCUAAUACCGCAUAAGCCCUGAGGGGGAAAUGGGGGACCGCAAGGCCUCACGCGAAUGGAGCGGCCGAUGUCAGAUUAGCUAGUUGGUAGGGUAAAGGCCUACCAAGGCGACGGAUCUGUAGCUGGUCUGAGAGGAUGGCCAGCCACACUGGAACUGAGACACGGUCCAGACUCCUACGGGAGGCAGCAGUGGGGGAAUCUUGCGCGAAUGGGGGCAACCCUGACGCAGCCAUGCCGCGUGAAUGAUGAAGGCCUUAGGGUUGUAAAGUCUUUUGCCCGUGACGAUGAUGACGGUAACGGGAGAAUAAGCUCCGGCUAACUUCGUGCCAGCAGCCGCGGUAAUGUAGU
This 480-nucleotide ribosomal RNA is filed under the name uncultured bacterium. Its description in RNAcentral is "bacterial SSU rRNA". It matches the Rfam family "Bacterial small subunit ribosomal RNA", at positions 30 to 529 of the family's 1533-position model. The record is from RNAcentral.